AAACGUAGGGGGCGAGCGUUGUCCGGAAUUACUGGGCGUAAAGAGCGUGUAGGCGGUCUGUUAAGUCAGGUGUGAAACCUCCGGGCCUAACCGGGAGCGUGCAUCUGAAACUGGCGGACUUGAGAGCAGGAGAGGAAAGUGGAAUUCCUAGUGUAGCGGUGAAAUGCGUAGAUAUUAGGAAGAACACCAGUGGCGAAGGCGGCUUUCUGGCCUGCAACUGACGCUGAGACGCGAAAGCCAGGGGAGCGAACGGGAUUAGAUACCCCGGUAGUCCUGGCCGUAAACGAUGGGCACUAGGUGUAGGAGGUAUCGACCCCUCCUGUGCCGGAGCAAACGCAAUAAGUGCCCCGCCUGGGGAGUACGGCCGCAAGGUUGAA
RNAcentral lists this ribosomal RNA (377 nucleotides) under uncultured bacterium. RNAcentral's name for it is "bacterial SSU rRNA". It matches the Rfam family "Bacterial small subunit ribosomal RNA", at positions 523 to 898 of the family's 1533-position model. The record is from RNAcentral.